UACGUAGGGGGCUAGCGUUGUCCGGAAUCAUUGGGCGUAAAGCGCGUGUAGGCGGUCCGGUAAGUCCGCUGUGAAAGUCGGGGGCUCAACCCUCGAAUGCCGGUGGAUACUGUCGGGCUAGAGUGCGGAAGAGGCGAGUGGAAUUCCUGGUGUAGCGGUGAAAUGCGCAGAUAUCAGGAGGAACACCAAUUGCGAAGGCAGCUAACUAUGCGAUGAUUGACGCUGAGGCACGAAAGCGUGGGGAGCAAACAGG
RNAcentral lists this ribosomal RNA (253 nucleotides) under uncultured bacterium. RNAcentral describes it as "partial 16S ribosomal RNA". It matches the Rfam family "Bacterial small subunit ribosomal RNA", at positions 524 to 776 of the family's 1533-position model. The record is from RNAcentral.